Molecule: ribosomal RNA, 729 nt
Filed under: bacterium 79-L049660-122-017-G10
Lineage: Bacteria
Description: bacterial SSU rRNA
Rfam family: Bacterial small subunit ribosomal RNA
Source: RNAcentral
AGUCGAGCGGAUGAGGUGAGCUUGCUCAUGGAUUCAGCGGCGGACGGGUGAGUAAUGCCUAGGAAUCUGCCUGGUAGUGGGGGACAACGUUUCGAAAGGAACGCUAAUACCGCAUACGUCCUACGGGAGAAAGCAGGGGACCUUCGGGCCUUGCGCUAUCAGAUGAGCCUAGGUCGGAUUAGCUAGUUGGUGAGGUAAUGGCUCACCAAGGCUACGAUCCGUAACUGGUCUGAGAGGAUGAUCAGUCACACUGGAACUGAGACACGGUCCAGACUCCUACGGGAGGCAGCAGUGGGGAAUAUUGGACAAUGGGCGAAAGCCUGAUCCAGCCAUGCCGCGUGUGUGAAGAAGGUCUUCGGAUUGUAAAGCACUUUAAGUUGGGAGGAAGGGUUGUAGAUUAAUACUCUGCAGUUUUGACGUUACCGACAGAAUAAGCACCGGCUAACUCUGUGCCAGCAGCCGCGGUAAUACAGAGGGUGCAAGCGUUAAUCGGAAUUACUGGGCGUAAAGCGCGCGUAGGUGGUUCGUUAAGUUGGAUGUGAAAUCCCCGGGCUCAACCUGGGAACUGCAUCCAAAACUGGCGAGCUAGAGUAUGGUAGAGGGUGGUGGAAUUUCCUGUGUAGCGGUGAAAUGCGUAGAUAUAGGAAGGAACACCAGUGGCGAAGGCGACCACCUGGACUGAUACUGACACUGAGGUGCGAAAGCGUGGGGAGCAAACAGGAUUAGAUA